UAGCUCAGUUGGGAGAGCAUCUGCCUUACAAGCAGAGGGUCACAGGUUCAAGUCCUGU
This 58-nucleotide transfer RNA is filed under the name Acidaminobacter sp. JC074. Its description in RNAcentral is "tRNA-Val". It matches the Rfam family "tRNA", at positions 8 to 63 of the family's 71-position model. Rfam says of the family: Transfer RNA (tRNA) molecules are approximately 80 nucleotides in length. Their secondary structure includes four short double-helical elements and three loops (D, anti-codon, and T loops). Lineage: Bacteria; Bacillati; Bacillota; Clostridia; Peptostreptococcales; Acidaminobacteraceae. The record is from RNAcentral.